CGCCAAGCACGUCAGCUCGUUUUCACGGGACAAAUCUAUCAAGAAUUCAUCGGUGCUACUAUUAAUGAGUGCAAUAGAAAUACUCCGGUAAGCAACAAAAAUCUGCACAAAUCUUUUUUAUACAUGUUUGAGAAUAUCAGCUGUACAUAUAUGAGUAUUUGGGGGGGGGGGGGGGGGGGGGGGGGGGGGGGGGCUGAACUACCAUCAUUUGCCCAUGUUGUUGCGUAAACGUAUCUGUGAAAGUACAUGUUUUGGGUGUGUGGGCAGCUCCAUCAUCCAUGGAUCAGGUGAGCCCCAAUUUACAGUCGAAGAAAGGAGACCCAUUAUAUCUUCAGUUCAGUGAGCUGUGAUCGAGUUCCAACCAUACCAGCCUCCAGGAUGUCUUCGUCGAACUUUGGGGGACUAGACGGCGUGCUGCUCGAGGGCGUGUGCGUGUCUGAUAGGAACACAUCCGAGUUGUUGUCAGACCAUUCUGCGGCGGUGGCGGCGGCAUCAGCAUCACCAGCUUCUGCAUCUCGGGGGAUUUCUGGAUUGGGUUCGACUUUGGUGUCAUCCACUUCGUGUUCCUCCUGUGCAGAUGUAUCAUUGGAGAGUUGACCUCCUUGAAAGUUCGGUCCAGAACCAGAAGCCUCAGGUUCUGGAGAAGAAUGCACACUGGCAAGAGAAGAAUGGUUUUCAGCAGGUUCUAUGUGAUGAAUCUGGACAGUUCUGCUGCUGUUUCCAGCUGAUGCGCUGCUGGUUCCUGUUUCCUCUAGAGGUAUUUUUUCGAAGCCAUCGUGUUCUGUCUGUAAUCCCUUCUGUUUUGAAUCUUCGUUUGUGAUGUGAACGCUUUUGCUUGACCAUUCCAGAUGGCUGAAGGCAUCACCAACCUUGGAAAGGCUUUCUUUCUCCUCGCUAGAUAACCCUGAUUUGUGAACUGCUGUGCCUAUUUCCAUAUCAGAAAAUAUAACCUACAAUUAUCAGGAAAACAUUAUGUGUAAGUAACUGUAUAC
Molecule: long non-coding RNA, 992 nt
Filed under: Zea mays
Lineage: Eukaryota; Viridiplantae; Streptophyta; Magnoliopsida; Poales; Poaceae
Description: long non-coding RNA (ZMAY_LNC005216)
Source: RNAcentral